GAUGAACGCUGGCGGCGUGCCUAAUACAUGCAAGUCGAGCGAACAGACGAGGAGCUUGCUCCUCUGACGUUAGCGGCGGACGGGUGAGUAACACGUGGAUAACCUACCUAUAAGACUGGGAUAACUUCGGGAAACCGGAGCUAAUCCCGGAUAACAUGUUGAACCGCAUGGUUCAACAGUGAAAGACGGUCUUGCUGUCACUUAUAGAUGGAUCCGCGCCGCAUUAGCUAGUUGGUAAGGUAACGGCUUACCAAGGCAACGAUGCGUAGCCGACCUGAGAGGGUGAUCGGCCACACUGGAACUGAGACACGGUCCAGACUCCUACGGGAGGCAGCAGUAGGGAAUCUUCCGCAAAGGGCGAAAGCCUGACGGAGCAACGCCGCGUGAGUGAUGAAGGUCUUCGGAUCGUAAAACUCUGUUAUUAGGGAAGAACAAAUGUGUAAGUAACUAUGCACGUCUUGACGGUACCUAAUCAGAAAGCCACGGCUAACUACGUG
RNAcentral lists this ribosomal RNA (497 nucleotides) under uncultured bacterium. Its description in RNAcentral is "partial 16S ribosomal RNA". It matches the Rfam family "Bacterial small subunit ribosomal RNA", at positions 28 to 507 of the family's 1533-position model. The record is from RNAcentral.